RNAcentral lists this ribosomal RNA (428 nucleotides) under uncultured bacterium. RNAcentral's name for it is "partial 16S ribosomal RNA". It matches the Rfam family "Bacterial small subunit ribosomal RNA", at positions 354 to 796 of the family's 1533-position model. The record is from RNAcentral.
GUGGGGAAUAUUGGGCAAUGGGGGAAACCCUGACCCAUCAACGCCGCGUGAGGGAAGAAGGUUUUCGGAUUGUAAACCUCUGUCCUUGGUGACGAAGGAAGUGACGGUAACCAAGGAGGAAGCCCCGGCUAACUACGUGCCAGCAGCCGCGGUAAUACGUAGGGGGCAAGCGUUGUCCGGAAUGACUGGGCGUAAAGGGCGUGUAGGCGGCCGAUUAAGUCUGGAGUGAAAGUCCUGCUUUCAAGGUGGGAAUUGCUUUGGAGACUGGUUGGCUUGAGUGCGGAAGAGGUAAGUGGAAUUCCCAGUGUAGCGGUGAAAUGCGUAGAGAUUGGGAGGAACACCAGUGGCGAAGGCGACUUACUGGGCCGUAACUGACGCUGAGGCGCGAAAGCGUGGGGAGCGAACAGGAUUAGAAACCCGGGUAGUCC